UUAUUAUAUAAAUAUUUACUGUUCUUUUUUUUUUAUAUUUAUGAAAAAUAUUUUUUACUUUAGUAUAUAAAUUUAGAAAUAUAAAUUUUAGUGGUAGUUAAUUAGUACUGUAAAGGAAUAUUGAAAUAUUUUGAAAAUUUCUAUUUAAUAAAGUAUACAUUAUUUGUAUUACCUUUUGUAUCAGGGUUGAUUAAUUUUAUUAAAUUUAUUUUUAUUUCUCGAUUUUAUAAGAGCUAAUAAUUUAAUUUAUUAAUUGUUGCAUAACUUUUAAUAAUAUUUUAUUAGAGGAGAAAUUCCAUUCGUUUAUAAAGGUAUCUAGUUUUUUAAGAAAUAGAUUUAAUUUAGCCUUGAUAUUUACUUUUUUCUUUUUUAAUAAAUUAUUUGUCAAGUUAAAAAUAAUAAGGGAUAAGCUUUAUUUUUUUUCUAUAAUUUUUUUGUUUUUUGAAUGUAGUAGGAAUAAAAUCACCCAUCUUUUUUAUUACGUUAUAGUAUAAUUCAUUUAUAUUUAAUUUUCUUUAAUUUAGGUAUUUAUUAAAAUGUAUUAACUAAUUUUUUAUUUAUAUUAACUAUGAUUAAAUUAGUAUAUAAUUUUUGUUUUCAAUUUAUUUUAUAUAAUAUAUAUUUGAGGAACUCGGCAAAUAUUAUGUUCGCCUGUUUAUCAAAAACAUGUCCUUUCGUUUUUUUUGGAAGGUCUGGCCUGCCCAGUGAAUUAAAUUUAACGGCCGCGGUAUAUUGACCGUGCAAAGGUAGCAUAAUCAUUAGUCUUUUAAUAGGAGGCUGGUAUGAAAGGUUUAACGAAACAUAAACUGUCUUAUUUAUAAAUUUAUAAUUUAACUUUUAAGUUAAAAGGCUUAAAUAUUUUUGGAGGACGAGAAGACCCUAUAGAGCUUUACAUUAUUUAUUUUUAAUAUUUAUUUGUUCAAUAAUUUAAUAUUAAUUUUAAUAUUGUUUUGUUGGGGUGACAAAAAAUAUAUAACUAACUUUUAUUAUUUAAUUUACAUUAAUUUAUGAAUUUUUGGAUCCAAUAUUAUUGAUCAUUAGAUUAAGUUACCUUAGGGAUAACAGCGUAAUCUUCUUUCAGAGUUCAAAUUUACAAGAAGGCUUGCGACCUCGAUGUUGGAUUAAGAUAAUAAUUAGGUGCAGCAGCUUAAUUAAUAGGUCUGUUCGACCUUUAAAUUCUUACAUGAUCUGAGUUCAGACCGGUUUAAGCCAGGUCGGUUUCUAUCCCCAAUUUUCUUGUAGUUUUUAGUACGAAAGGACCAUUACUAUAAAAUAUUUUUUUUAUUUUUGAUUAAUUUUA
This 1300-nucleotide ribosomal RNA is filed under the name Ceriagrion fallax. Its description in RNAcentral is "16S ribosomal RNA". The stretch from base 862 to 1231 matches the Rfam family "Archaeal large subunit ribosomal RNA", at positions 2150 to 2716 of the family's 2987-position model. Lineage: Eukaryota; Metazoa; Arthropoda; Insecta; Odonata; Coenagrionidae. The record is from RNAcentral.